RNAcentral lists this ribosomal RNA (536 nucleotides) under Brucella abortus. RNAcentral's name for it is "partial 23S ribosomal RNA". It matches the Rfam family "Bacterial large subunit ribosomal RNA", at positions 631 to 1162 of the family's 2925-position model. Lineage: Bacteria; Pseudomonadati; Pseudomonadota; Alphaproteobacteria; Hyphomicrobiales; Brucellaceae. The record is from RNAcentral.
GUGUAUCGAGCAAGCUUAAGCCGGUAGGUGUAGGCGCAGCGAAAGCGAGUCUGAACAGGGCGUUCAGUUCGAUGCAUUAGACCCGAAACCAAGUGAUCUAGCCAUGAGCAGGUUGAAGGUACGGUAACACGUACUGGAGGACCGAACCCAUAUCUGUUGCAAUAGAUCGGGAUGACUUGUGGCUAGGGGUGAAAGGCCAAUCAAACUUGGAGAUAGCUGGUUCUCCGCGAAAUCUAUUUAGGUAGAGCGUCGACCGAAUACCCCCGGGGGUAGAGCACUGGAUGGGCUAUGGGGACUCACCGUCUUACUGAUCCUAACCAAACUCCGAAUACCGGGGAGUACUAGUCGGCAGACACACGGCGGGUGCUAACGUCCGUCGUGGAGAGGGCAACAACCCUGACCACCAUCUAAGGUCCCUAAGUUAUGGCUAAGUGGGAAAGGAUGUGAGGAUCCCAAAACAACCAGGAUGUUGGCUUAGAAGCAGCCAUCAUUUAAAGAAAGCGUAACAGCUCACUGGUCUAAAUAAGGGUCUUAGC